AGGCCUAACACAUGCAAGUCGAGCGGUAACACAAGGGAGCUUGCUUCUGAGGUGACGAGCGGCGGACGGGUGAGUAAUGCCUAGGGAUCUGCCCAGUCGAGGGGGAUAACAGUUGGAAACGACUGCUAAUACCGCAUACGCCCUACGGGGGAAAGGAGGGGACCUUCGGGCCUUCCGCGAUUGGAUGAACCUAGGUGGGAUUAGCUAGUUGGUGAGGUAAUGGCUCACCAAGGCGACGAUCCCUAGCUGUUCUGAGAGGAUGAUCAGCCACACUGGGACUGAGACACGGCCCAGACUCCUACGGGAGGCAGCAGUGGGGAAUAUUGCACAAUGGGGGAAACCCUGAUGCAGCCAUGCCGCGUGUGUGAAGAAGGCCUUCGGGUUGUAAAGCACUUUCAGUAGGGAGGAAAGGUGAUGUGUUAAUAGCACAUUGCUGUGACGUUACCUACAGAAGAAGGACCGGCUAACUCCGUGCCAGCAGCCGCGGUAAUACGGAGGGUCCGAGCGUUAAUCGGAAUUACUGGGCGUAAAGCGUGCGCAGGCGGUUUGUUAAGCCAGAUGUGAAAUCCCCGGGCUCAACCUGGGAAUUGCAUUUGGAACUGGCGAACUAGAGUCUUGUAAAAGGGGGUAGAAUUCCAGUGUACGGUGGAAAUUCGUGCCUAAUUUCGGGGGAUACCGGUUGCAAAAGCCGCCCCCUGGACAAAGACUUACGCUCANNNNNNNNNNNNNNNNNNNNNNNNNNNNNNNNNNNNNNNNNNNNNNNNNNNNNNNNNNNNUGUCUUACCCGGAUUUGGUGACUUAGUCACUGGGCUCCCAAGUUAACGCAUUAAUUAGACCGCCUGGGGAAUACGGCCGCAAGGUUAAAACUCCAAUGAAUUUACGGGGGCCCGCACAAGCGGUGGAGCAUGUGGUUUAAUUCGAUGCAACGCGAAGAACCUUACCUACUCUUGACAUCCACAGAAGAGACCAGAGAUGGACUUGUGCCUUCGGGAACUGUGAGACAGGUGCUGCAUGGCUGUCGUCAGCUCGUGUUGUGAAAUGUUGGGUUAAGUCCCGCAACGAGCGCAACCCCUAUCCUUAUUUGCCAGCACGUAAUGGUGGGAACUCUAGGGAGACUGCCGGUGAUAAACCGGAGGAAGGUGGGGACGACGUCAAGUCAUCAUGGCCCUUACGAGUAGGGCUACACACGUGCUACAAUGGCGUAUACAGAGGGUUGCAAAGCCGCGAGGUGGAGCUAAUCUCACAAAGUACGUCGUAGUCCGGAUCGGAGUCUGCAACUCGACUCCGUGAAGUCGGAAUCGCUAGUAAUCGUGGAUCAGAAUGCCACGGUGAAUACGUUCCCGGGCCUUGUACACACCGCCCGUCACACCAUGGGAGUGGGCUGCAAAAGAAGUGGGUAGUUUAAACUUCGGGAG
Molecule: ribosomal RNA, 1415 nt
Filed under: Shewanella frigidimarina
Lineage: Bacteria; Pseudomonadati; Pseudomonadota; Gammaproteobacteria; Alteromonadales; Shewanellaceae
Description: partial 16S ribosomal RNA
Rfam family: Bacterial small subunit ribosomal RNA
Source: RNAcentral